This 253-nucleotide ribosomal RNA is filed under the name uncultured bacterium. RNAcentral's name for it is "partial 16S ribosomal RNA". It matches the Rfam family "Bacterial small subunit ribosomal RNA", at positions 524 to 776 of the family's 1533-position model. The record is from RNAcentral.
UACGUAGGGACCGAGCGUUGUCCGGAUUCAUUGGGCGUAAAGAGCUCGUAGGCGGCUGUUCAAGUCGAACGUGAAAACUCGGAGCUCAACUCCGAGCCUGCGUUCGAGACUGGAUGGCUAGAGUCUGGUAGGGGGAUCUGGAAUUCCUGGUGUAGCGGUGGAAUGCGCAGAUAUCAGGAGGAACACCGGUGGCGAAGGCGCCACUCUGGGCCGAAACUGACGCUGAGGAGCGAAAGCGUGGGUAGCAAACAGG